Non-coding RNA from Sarcophilus harrisii (Tasmanian devil), 47 nucleotides. The record is from Rfam. Lineage: Eukaryota; Metazoa; Chordata; Mammalia; Dasyuromorphia; Dasyuridae.
ACAAAGGCUCUCUUCAGAGCCAUUUGCCAAAAUGCAGGAAUUUGUCU